UUUUUUUUUUUUUGGUCUUUUUAGGGCCACAUCUAAAGGCAUAUGGAAGAUCCCAGCCUAGGGGUCCAAUUGGAGUUGUAGCUGCUGGCCUACACCACAGUCACAGCAACUCAGGAUCUGAGCUGCAUCUGUGACCUAAGCCAGAGCUCAGAGCAACACUGGAUUCCCGACCCACUAAGUGGGGCCAGGGAUGGAACCUGCAUCCUCAUGGAUACUAGUCAGAUUCGUUUCUGCUAUGCCACAACGGGAACUCCUCAAACAAUUUUUUAAAGUCACCUAUAAUUCCCGUAUGCUGUAGGAUAAUUUUUGCUUCUUCACGGUCCUUCUCAAUUUUAUCCCCCGUACACACACAGUAGGUACACAAUGUUUUCCUCAUUUUAAUCUUGGUAUAAUACACACUUCAGUCAGCCACUUUUAAAAUUUAACGUGUUUUCAUCAACAUAAUGUAAGUCAUCAGACUUACAUUCUCAGUGGUGGCACCUGUCUCCUAUUUUCUGCAGUUGUCUACUAUUAUAAAUAUGCUCCCAUAAGCACAGUGACUACUCUCGGCAUACAUAGGGGAGGGGAUGCUAAGAAAAAUUAGGAAACUAACAGUUUUUUAAAAAGAACAAAGGUAAAUGUUGAGGAUUUAGAAGUUACCUUUAGGAGCCAGGUGAUUUAGCAGAAUUGGGUUCUUGUUCCUAUAUAUUAGUAUGUUAUAGCAGGUAUGCAGUUCUGCUUUGGGGGCAGAGAGGGGGGUUAAUUUUUUUUUUUUUUAAUUUGAAGACACAAAUGCAGUAAAAACCAUAGAUGAAAAUAAAAAUACACAGGUACCCAGCAUUAAUCAAUGUUCAUCAUAUUUUUUAAAAAAUAGGAAGAUUCCUGCAAAGUCGAAGUCUCUUUUGGACUCUUCUGCAGUCAUAUGGGUGACUCUUAAUGACCGCAAGGAACAAACUUAGUCUCAAAGUAGUUUACAUAAAUGGUGAUAAAGGUCCAAGAGAUGGGUGUGAUCUAUACAUACAGACUUUGAUCUUUAACGGGUAUCUCUUUCUAACAUAAUUGCAACAAUAAUGUAUAAUAAUACACAAUGUAUAAUAACAUAUAAUGUAUAAUGCAUUAUAGUUUGAAAGUGCUUUUGUGGCCUACAUAAUAGAGGGAUGUGGGGUAAGCUUCAGCCAAGGCUGCCCCUCUUGCCAGUGGAUCUAGAGUGGUGAAAAAGCAAUAGCGGCUAGGGCGGCCUCUUAUAGGAACUACACAUAAAGCAGAGUUUUGGGUUAAGGGAUCUUUUUACCAGGUUACACUACUUCAAGCUCUCUCCCUAUUAAAAUGUGACCAGGACAAAUCCCUUCUCCUUGGAUCAAUUUGACUCAGAUGGCUCAAGGAGAGAUGGCUGCAGACAGGUUGAAGCUGAAAGCUCCAGCAAAUAUUUUAACAACAGAAAACACUCUUAGGGGCUAUCAAGAGAGCAGUGCAGGGCUCAGAGCAUCUCCUCGCAGUAAAGACAGAAGCACGCUCCAAUGCGCAAACAUAUUUGGAAGUGCAGAACUGCAUGGAACUUUUAAAGCAACAAGAGGGGCUGCAUACCAAGACCACAGUACUGGGCUUCUCCAAGUGUUUCUUUUCAGGAAUCCUGGGGCAUGCUGCUGGAUCACAGGCCGCAGGAUACUGGCAAACUAUAGGAAAAGAGUGGAGAAGAAAAUGCAGAGCAGAAAACAAAAAUGGAAGUCUUUGAAAGGAAGAAAGGAAGGUAUUUUGAGGAUUAAUGUCAAAGAGAUGUAUAUAUAAUGCAUACAGACUCCAGUUUCAGCUUAUUUAGAAGAAAUCAUCGUUUAUGUCUACUCUGUAGAAGUACAGCUUCGAGCAUAUUUUAACACUUGAACAUAUGCGAGAGAAGCAGGAAAAAGAGUCACAAAAGAAAGCACAGGAUUUAUGGGACUGAAUCUGAGCAGCAGCUGCAACCUAUACCACAGCUGUGGCAAUGCUGGAUUCUUUAACCCACCGUGCCAGGCCAGGGAUCAAACCUGUGCCUCAAUAGCGACCUGAGCUGCUCUAGUCAGAAUCUUAACCCACUGUGCUAAAGCAGGAACUCUUCUAUAUAUACAUUUUUUAAAUGGCAACUUACGAGUAAAUUGAUCAUUAAGAAAAAAAUAAAUAAAAGAAUUAGGGCAGACCAGCAAUGUCAAUAAAGUCUCAAAUUUAUUUCAUUUUCACAAAAUAACUGUUGGCUAGAACCAACAUGGAGGUUCUAAUUAGCAUCAGUAUUAUUCCUUGUGAGAAGCCUUCUCUUAGCCACCCCCAGCCCCAGCUGACUACUUCCCCUCUAGAACUUCAGAGCAUUUUUCAUUUUGAGUCUUUUUUGGCAUUACUCACAAUCAUGACAGGUUGCACUGUGGGCUUCAUCUUUCCUUCCAAGUAGUCAUUGAAGGCCUAGGAUAAGAACUGUGUUGACUCACCUUUAUAUCUCUGACCUCCAAUGCAGGAUUCGGCCAAUGUGUGUACUCUCUACAUGCUUGUCAAAACUGAGCCACUGUCUGUCACAGACAGACCAUUGGUCUUAUGGAAGCAAACUCUUCCUACUUUCCAGUCCAGCUUUCCCAGCUUGGUUCUCUUCUUCAGGCAGAGAAUCAACAUCUAUCAAGUUAAAUUCAUGGGGCGGCUUUCGUUGGCUUUCUUCCAUGGGGGAGUAAAGCUAAGGCUUUUUCCACAGAUGCUGACAAUAGUUCUUCCUAUAUGCUGUUAAAGGAAACAAACAAACAAACAAACAAACAAUUGGAGACCUAAGACUGAGUGCUGAGUGGAAAACAGGGAACUUGACCCAGACAGAGGUACACGUCUAGGCCCCCCCAGGGAUAAGGUUUAGGGAAGGAGAAAGGAGGUAGAUCUUUUAAAGCAGAAACCUAGGAGUUCUCGUUGUGGCUCAGUGGGUUAAAAACCUGACUAGCAUCCAUGAGGAUGUGGGUUUGAUCCCUGGUCUCGAUCAGUGGGUUAACAAUCUGGCAUUGCGGCAAGCUGUGGUAUAGGUCACAGAUGUGACUCAGAUCUGGUGUUGCCAUGGCUGUGGCAAUAGGCUGGCUGCUACAGCUCCGAUUUGACCCCUAGCCCGGGAACUUUCAUAUGCCACAGGUGUGGCCAAAAAAAUAAAUUAAUUAAUUAAAUUAAGCAAAAACAUUCAAACUUUCUGUCCCAUGCUAGGAAAGCAAAAUGUCUGAGUUAUGUUUGUUGGUUGGUGAUAACUGCAUUUGUCAUUGUGUAAUUGUGGGGCUGGCUGGAGUGGCCUUUUUGGGAUUGUGGUAUGCAUUUGGGCCACUCUUGGAUUAUAGUAUGUAGGUAACACAUGACCUGCCGGAUAGGGACUAUGUCAUCCACUGGGGUGUCAACAGUAGGCUUGGUGGACUUCUCAGAGUUUAGCCAUGCACAGAACACCCUAGGGUUUGUGGAUCACCUUCCCAUCUGUACUUCAGUCAAGAAGAUCAAACCCCAGACCUUGUCAUUUAAACUGUGGGUGACUUCACUUUUCGACAGUCUUCCUUCUCUGAGGUAAGGCGAAGAAUGAAAAACCAUUCAAUGCCUACUGCAUGGCAGGUAUGGCAGGAACUGUACUGCACUCAGUGACUUUACAGAGAAUCAAAGAGGUUAUCACCACGUUAUGGAGGUGCCACACAGCUAUAAGGGGUAAAUCCAGGCUUCAAAGCCUAGCCUAACCUGGCUUUAAAACUUGGGUUGAUAGCCCCUGAUGUCCUUCAACAGCAUCAACAAGUCGCAGUGGCUCUCACACUGCCAAUGAAUGCCCUGGACAGCUGGCUAUGACACAGAAAUCCAGAGAUCCACCUUAACCUGGAUGGUUUUUUUUUCCCUAGGUCUUAGAGGUCUCUGGUGUUACUUUUCUAAGUAAAAGACUAGAAAUUUGGACAGUUAAGAGAACUGACCAGCAGCAUUAAAUGCUCUCUGGUUAGAGGAAGGGGAAAAAAAAAAAACCUAAGUGAAAAUAGUUAGUUACUCUCAGAAAGGCUGAGAGUAUUUAGGGUUUAAGAAUCUAACCAUGUCUAAUGUUUUAUUGGUUUGGAUAGUAGAAAAAGCGUUAUGUAAAAACAUAUGAUAUAGGAAAUGCUUUUUAAGAUAGAAUUCACUUAAUUCAAAUGAGGUAAUGCAUCUGAAAGUGCUUUAAAAGCAUAAAGUGCUAUAUGAACUGUGAGGGAUUAUUUGUACAAAGUAACCUUUUACAGGUGAAACUUAAAACAUUGGUAUUUUUACUUCUCUUCCAAGAACCAGAGUAGUUUUGGGACUUGCUCUUUGCUGAGGAAAAAAACUCAUGCUUAUUUUCUCAGUUUGGCAGGAUCAGGUAGAGAAGAUAAUUAGACUUGAGGAGGAGAAACUCCCUGAGUCUACAAGAGGCUCCACAAUUGUACUCUCAACUGUGCCUAUUUUGCUGUUCCUCCUACCAGGGAGCUUAAAAUGCCUCUAAUUACACCGUUUUCCCCAUCUCUCCUCUUCUUUGUAAUUUAGAUGCAGCACAGCAGUUCAGUUUGCCUGACUCUCCUCUCUGAUUUGUCAUGUUAGUUUGAUGGGUUUCUGUCUUAUGUGAGUCUUGCCCCUAAAUAAAGGCCCAGCACCCCCAUCUGUGUUUAAAAAAACCGCUUCACAGGCAAAACCAAAGGGCCACAGAGCUCCAGUCACAAUAGGCUUUGAUAUUCAACCAGAGCCAGGUUGCUAUUCAACUCUUGGUUGAUAAAGAAAUUUCAGUCUUAUUUACCUAAAAAUUUUCCUUCUGCUGAUAAGAAUGCAAGUUCUUAUUUCCACCUGGAUGUGCCCACAAACGAAAAGUAAUAUAAUCCUAUGGUUUAACCAUUUCCAUUGGUCCAGAGUAGUUUUCUUCAAAAAGAGUGGGAUCUCAGCAAAUCCGCUGUGAAGUUGUGGUGAGAAAAGAACAAUAAACAUAUGUGGCAGGACAGUAUUUUGAACAUUAACUGAUACCCCCUCUUUCCUAUCUAUUCUUUCCUGUUAUCUCUACCCCUCCCCAUACCCUUUCCCUUUAGGCUACUAAUUAUUUCGCUUUUAUUGCUCAAGGAAAAAAAAUGAAAGAAAGCACAGAAUUGAUUCCUGAUAUUUUUACAUUUCAAAAGAGACUUCAAAACUGUAAGCAGGGGAGAGUUUAAGAGAAAAGUCUACUGAAGGCAAAAGAUUAAGCUUUUGAAAUGUCAAAGCCAAUGCCUGGAAAAGACUCAAGACUCGGAUAGUGUACAGAAUGUUAGAGUCAGACUCUUCUGUUUCCUGCGACUAGGAAGGGUCUGGAUCCAGGAGAGCCAGUGAGGAAGCUAGCAGUGAGCAGACUUCAGGGUUUCAGAGACAGUGGUCUGGUCUGUGAGGUAUACAUCUUGCCAGAGAGCACAGGGGAUGUGAGUCCCACAAGCUGAGGGUAAGGCAAUGAGAUCCCAGAGUUCUCAUCCCCUGCCAGCAAGAAGCAGAAGCAGAAGCAGAAGGCAUGUCUGGGAGAGAACUGGGGUAGCUGGGCCCAAGGUACCUCCAGGGCAUAAUUCUAGGGACGUAGUGGGAAGAGAAAAAUCUUUGUUCUCCCUGUGUGUGUGCCUCUCUCUGUAUCCAAAUUUUCCCUUUUAAUAAGAAUAGCAGGGAGUUCCCAUUGUGGCUCAGCAGGAACACCAGACAUACCAGAUUAGUGCCUGUGCUAAGGGUCUCAUUUUAACUUUUUUUCUUUUUAGGGCCACACCCACAGCAUAUGGAAGUUCCCAGGCUAAAAGUUGAAUUGGAGUUGCAGGUGCUGGCCUACACCACAGCCACAGCAACGCCAGAUCUGACCUGCAUCUGCGACCUAUACCACACCUCAAAGCAAUGCCAGAUCCUUCAAUGCAAUGAGCGAAGCCAGGAAUCAAACCUGCAUCCUCAUGAAUGCUUGGUGGGUUCUUAACCUGCUGAGCCGCAAUGGGAACUCCAAACAUAUCUUUUUGAGAAGGACACAAUUCAACCCACAAAAGCCCGUUUACACAGAUUAGCUCACUAUGUGCUUUUGAACUCCCACCAACCCAUUUCUUGCCACUGAUACCUUCUGGUGGAAUCUGUGGUCAUGAAAACAUCUGGUAAUCUCAUUCACAGUAAGGUAUAACUGACCAAAAUUGUCUAUGUUUAUUUAUAAAGUACAAUGGUCCAAAAUGAUAUAAAGUAACAGUAAGAAAUGGAUAAAAUUUACUAUGUUGUCCCUUUAGGAAGUAUCUACAUUUUAGUAAAUCACAAGGAAUUAUACCACUUCCUCAAUAACAUAUAACAUAUUUGUUAGGAACUGUAAUCAUAGCAAUACAUAGGAUAAUCAGUAAAAACUUGCUCAGUAACACUUGCUUUUUAUUAUAAUUAACAUAAAAACUGCAUUUUCUAUUAAUGGCAAUGUAGGGCUGAAUUCCAUGUUUUAAUGCAAUGAUGUGCACUCAUAAUUCCCUACUGAUGAUUACUGUAAAUUUCUUCAACACCAAAAAGAAAUACAAACACUCCUAAACAAACUGCAAACUUGAUAGCUACUGCCACACUAUCUACUUCAUAAUUGGUUCAAAGCCUAUGAAAUUAGCAAGAUAUUUGAACCACUCAAACCAACAAUGGCUUUAAAGCCAUCCCCUCCAAAACUGCAUUUAGGAGCCAUUUUUGCAAUCAACAAAGGAUUUAUUUUUUUAAACUCAAGAAAGCUGGAGUUCCUAUCAUGCCUCAGCAGAAACAAAUCUGACUAGUAUCCAUGAGGACGCAGGUUCGAUCCCUGGCCUUACUCACUGGGUUAAGGAUCUGGCAUUGCUGUGACCUAUGCUGUAGGUUGCAGACAUGGCUUGGAUCUGGCAUUGCUAUGGCUGUGGAGUAGGUCAGUGGCUAUAGCUUCCGAUUCAACCCCUAGCCUGGGAACCUCCAUAUGCUGCAGGUACACAGAUACGUCCCUAAAAGGCCAAAAAAUAGAAUGUGGGCUAUGGUAACAUAGCUAUCAUUUUACUUUUUAUUUAUUUUUUGAUUUUUGAUUUUUGUCUUUUUGCCUUUUCUAGGGCCACUCCUGCUGCAUAUGGAGGUUCCCAGGCUAGGG
Molecule: long non-coding RNA, 7042 nt
Filed under: Sus scrofa (pig)
Lineage: Eukaryota; Metazoa; Chordata; Mammalia; Artiodactyla; Suidae
Description: lncRNA (ENSSSCG00040002973.1)
Source: RNAcentral